GCCAGUGUGGCAUAGUGGCUUGAGUGUUGGACUAUAACUUUGGAGUCCAGGGUUUGAUUCCGGGCUCGGCCA
RNAcentral lists this transfer RNA (72 nucleotides) under Phrynosoma platyrhinos (Desert horned lizard). Its description in RNAcentral is "tRNA-OTHER". The record is from RNAcentral. Lineage: Eukaryota; Metazoa; Chordata; Lepidosauria; Squamata; Phrynosomatidae.